UACCACCUGGUGUGUUGAGGUUCCUAACCGUCGGGUCCGUCAUCCGGAGUCGGGGACCGUGCAUGGUAGGCAGUUUGACGUGGGGCGGUCUCCUCCCAAAGUGUAACGGAGGAGCUCGAAGGUCGCCUAGGUACGGUCGGACAUCGUACUGAUAGUGUAAUGGCAUAAGGCGGCUUAACUGCGAGACCGACAAGUCGAGCAGGUGCGAAAGCAGGACAUAGUGAUCCGGUGGUUCUGUAUGGAAGGGCCAUCGCUCAACGGAUAAAAGGUACUCCGGGGAUAACAGGCUGAUACCGCCCAAGAGUUCACAUCGACGGCGGUGUUUGGCACCUCGAUGUCGGCUCAUCACAUCCUGGGGCUGUAGCCGGUCCCAAGGGUAUGGCUGUUCGCCAUUUAAAGUGGUACGUGAGCUGGGUUUAAAACGUCGUGAGACAGUUUGGUCCCUAUCUGCAGUGG
This 456-nucleotide ribosomal RNA is filed under the name uncultured bacterium. Its description in RNAcentral is "bacterial LSU rRNA". It matches the Rfam family "Bacterial large subunit ribosomal RNA", at positions 2198 to 2650 of the family's 2925-position model. The record is from RNAcentral.